Molecule: transfer RNA, 82 nt
Organism: Toxocara canis (dog roundworm)
Lineage: Eukaryota; Metazoa; Nematoda; Chromadorea; Rhabditida; Toxocaridae
Rfam family: tRNA
About the family: Transfer RNA (tRNA) molecules are approximately 80 nucleotides in length.
Source: Rfam
GGCGAGAUGGCCGAGCGGUCUAAGGCGCUGGUUUAAGGCACCAGUCUCUUCGGAGGCGUACUUUCGAAUCCUACUCUCGUCA